CAGCGGAAGUGACGGGCAUUGCCUCUUGGACGCCGUAAAUUCGCCAUUGAACCUCCGCGUAAGACAUACGUAAUACCUGCUAAAGCUCUCCCGUUUGUGUGUUUUUUUUAAACGCAUUCGGUGUUCGGAAGUGACCUACCCGGUGACACAUACCUUGCCCAGGCUGGUGUAGGGUUUUUUUUUACGUUUGGAGGUGAAGAAUAAAUCGAGUCAAGCUGGGGAGAAGCCAGGAAAUGUCCUACUACUCAUCGUCCCGCAGUUCGUCCAGGGCGUCGGACUGUAAGGUGUACGUGGGUGACCUGGGCAAUGGUGCCGCCAAGGGGGAGUUGGAACGGGCGUUCAGCUACUAUGGCCCGCUGAGGACCGUCUGGGUGGCCAGGAACCCGCCAGGGUUUGCUUUUGUGGAGUUUGAGGAUCCAAGAGAUGCUGAAGAUGCUGUUAAAGGCACGGAUGGGAAGCUCUUGUGUGGGUCACGUGUACGAGUGGAGAUGUCAACUGGCAUGUCCAGGAAGGGCCGCGGACGCCCCAGCCGUCGCCAGUUUGACCCAAAUGACCGCUGUUACCAGUGUGGGGACCGCGGUCAUUAUGCCUAUGACUGCUACCGCUUCAGCAAGCGAGGAGGAGGAGGAGGACGCCGCAGCAGGUCCCGAUCCCAUUCUCGAUCACGGUCCAGGUCCAGAUCUCGUGGGCGCCGCUACCGCUCCCGUUCUCACUCUCGCAGCCGUAGCCGCAGCAGGAGCCGCCGCCGCUCCCCAUCAUACUCAAGGCGCAGGAGCAGGUCUGGCUCUCAAGCCCGCUCCAAGUCCAGGACUCCAGUGAGAAGUCGUUCCAGGUCUCGUUCUCGGUCCAGAUCAGCACCAAGACGCUCUGCCUCCCGCUCCCGCUCUCGGUCACAGUCGGCCAAUCACAAGAAGAACAGUGUGUGCUGGGAGCUGCGCACUGCGUUGACACUGCAGCUGAUCCCAGGCCAAGGGUCUGCCAGCUGGCGGUGUGUACAUCCUGCGGGAGGGUGACUAGGCGCUGAACUGAGAUCAGCCUUCGCCUGGCGUUAGACAGCGAGAAUCUCCCCCCGCGCAGUGAAUGGGUGACCGUCUGUCCAACCGACGCACAUGCUCAGACGAGAUCAGCCCGUGCACACUUACAGUUGUUCUCCUAGAGUCACCCAGGCCGUCAGCCAGCCAGCCGGCAGAUCUACCAGAGCGUCGGCAUGAACGGUUCAGAGUUCGACCAUUUAAAAUCCAUUACCUACCUACCAGACCCCCUACCUACCAGAGCUCUGCGGCCUCUGACUUAGCUUCUGAAAAUGAGAGUGAGCUGACCUGAGAUCAGUCUUCAAGAGCGUAGUCAUCCGUCCUUCAGUGCUUUCAACCUUCGCUUCUCUGUACUUGUUUUUUCUGCCAGUGUCUCCAAAGUUGUUCCCGCUCAGCAACACCACCACCACCACCACGAAGUCCAUCGCCAGCCGCCAACUGAGUGACAAACAAGACACCCCUCAAUCCCAACCCCUGUUCUCUUUUACAGCAGCGCUCCCAAGUUUUCCAUGUGUGGUUAUGCUUCAUUUCUUUCGGAGAUAAAGUGCAGCUUCAGAACUGCUUUUUGAUUGGCGGAAGGUUUUAGGACAUCCUUCACAUGUAGUUUGUAUGAGAGGCAACGCCUACAUCUGCAUGGUGCUGUAUGUUGCAGUGGACUUUUAAUAGUGACAUUCGAACACUUUUUUUGCUCCUGUGCGCUCAUUAAGCACCCAAUUCCUUAAAUAUGUAUAUUUCUGUCCUGCACUGCUCCCAUCCAUUUUUUUCUUCUCUCGAAGUUUGUGUGCUUAAAAAGAUGUUCUCGGCCCUUCAGGUUAUUCCUGUGUAUUAUUUGAAAUUGUUUUUUGGUGAUUCAGCUAGAAUUUGGAUGGGCUCCUGCUUGUACUGUUUGAGACGCUGGCAUUUUUAUUUUUCAAUAAAUCUUCCCAACAUG
Nerophis lumbriciformis (worm pipefish) is the source of this 1962-nucleotide RNA transcript. It is a transcript of the gene named serine and arginine rich splicing factor 7a, with no coding region annotated. NCBI's taxonomy places the organism in Eukaryota, Metazoa, Chordata, Actinopteri, Syngnathiformes, Syngnathidae. The record is from RefSeq and is a predicted model, not a curated record.